RNAcentral lists this long non-coding RNA (1053 nucleotides) under Mustela putorius furo (domestic ferret). Its description in RNAcentral is "lncRNA (ENSMPUG00000030070.1)". Lineage: Eukaryota; Metazoa; Chordata; Mammalia; Carnivora; Mustelidae. The record is from RNAcentral.
AUCCUUGAUUCAUCAUUUAACAUAUAUAUUGAGUGCCUACUGUGUAUCAGAAUUCCAGGUUCUGGAACUGCAGAAAUGAAUAAGGCCAACAAAGUCCCCGUCCACAAAUGAACAUUCUGGUGAAGGAGACAGUGGCCAACGGCAACUUAUAGGCUAUAGGUAAUGUAUGCCGCGAUGCACAUCUGUGAACUCAGUGUAAACUGAUUCACAAUGGGGUAGACAGGCAGUCACAGAACAAGCCUUGCCAAUGAGGAACCAGAGUGGAGAUGCAACUCCGUGGGCAGAGGGGAGCCAUGUGGAAAUCUAGGGAAGACUCUGGGGACAGAGGGGCCAAUGAGGCUGAGACCCCGAGCUGGGCCUGAGCUUGUAUUUAAGGAACAGCAAGAAGGCCAGUCUGCCUGGAGGAGCAGGAUGGAAGGUAUCAGAAUCGGAAUGGAGAGAAAGAGGUUCCUGGCAGCCUCAGGACCUUGCUGGGCCCCCAGGAUGGACUGGAAAUGUCCAGGUAUGGGGCCACUUUUGAGGAUUGGAUCUUUCUGGCUGGGUAAUGGAAGGAGCCUGGUUCUGAAAUUUUACCCUAAAGGCCUGGUCUGGCCUUAAUUUUUCACCAUUUUUGCCUCUACCCCUAGGUACUGACCAGCCUUUGGGAACAGAUGAAAGAAGGGGUUGAUCUUCAGGCUUGAAUUCUGCCUCAACACAGCCCUUCCUCCUUUUGAGGUGCCCAACAAAGAGAGGUAAAGGCAAACAUGUGCUUUUGAUGACGACAAAGCCCAAUGUAGACCCUUGUAACCUAGGGUUGGCCCCUGUGGAGUGUGCCUCCUUCCUGGGCUGGAGGCAGGCCUAAGGCCCAGAGUCAAAACGGGCUACGUGGACAUUCCCUCCUAGCCCACACCAGAAUCUUUCAAGUAUGCAUCCCAGGAAAGGCCUGCACACUGGGGAGAAGCCAGAGCCUGAAGCCUUCCCAACCUGACCUGUAUUCUGCUACUGUGCCCUAGGCCACCUGGGGUAGGGGGAGGACUCAUGUGGGAGUCAUGGUGCACAUGUCCCCAGGUUUCU